GAAAAAAUGAGGUCUGGAAGUAAAUCCGGAGCGAGGGAGCUGCCUUCCAAGUAAGGGACCCUUUGCCGCCUGAGCGCUACAGUUGGAGAGAGCCGUGACGCAGUUGGUAAUUCACAGCGCUUGUGCUUUAGUGCGGCCACCCAGCCCACGAAAUGGCCUCCCCGUCGAAGUCUGGUGCUUUUAUUGUGUGAAAGCCUACGGAGAAACCGCGUCCCGUGCGCCGGGAGUGGCGGCUGGCGGCUGGCAGGGCGCUCCGGGUCGCGCUCGGUGUUGUGUGAGGGCGGCCGCCAUCAUGGCUGCUUCUUCAGCGCCGCUUUCUCCUCAGCGCUGGGUCCCCCACUGCCUCCCGACGCUCCGCGUCCCGAUCAUUGCAGGGAAACGGCCUUUUCUUUUUUUUUUUUCCUUUUUUUUUUUUUCUUUCUCUCUUUUUUUUUUCCUUCCCCUUCCCCCAUCGCUUUGUGAGGGGUUGUGGAAGGAGAAAGCGAGGAGGGAGCGGCGCACAAGAUGGCGGCGUCGGGGAGCGCCCUGCGGCAGCGGGCGGCGCGGGGCUGGCGGGGCUCCAGGCGGGGGGGGCUGGGGGGAGGACAAAGGCAGCGCGCAUCCUGCGGGCUGGGCACCUAUAAAUAACGCAGCCCGCCCCUCAGCCUUCCUCCCUUCCCCCAGCUGGUUUUAUAAAUACCAAAGGCUGAAAGCAGCCUAAUGCGAGGGGGUGGGGGGGGGGAAGAGGAACAAACGUCCCCCCCUUUCCCCCCUAACUGUAAAAUGGGGGGAGAGAAGACAAGCUAAUGAGCAGUUGGAGCCAACGUGCCGGGGGAGCGCUCCCCGCCGCCGUCACAUGGCUCUGCGUUGUUUUCCUCCUUCUCCCCCCACCGCCGGUGCGGCAGAGCGGCGGCUGCCUCCUCCCGCCCGUGGCCGCGGAUGGCGGGGAGGAGCCCCGCGGCCUCCCCGGCCCUCAGCCCCGGGCCCUGCUGAGGUGCUGCCUCAAAUCAGAUAGCAAAGCCCGGCUUCGGCGGGCGGAAGGCACACAAAGCCCACCUAGAGGGGUGCUUGGGCCAGGCCAUGCAGCCCAGCGGUGGGAGGGAUGAGGCUGUUGUCCACACAACACAGAACACAUUUCCAAAGGAAAAAAAAAAGGAAAAACUGCGAGGCUGGGCUCCAUCCCCACGCCCUGCCCCGCCAGCAGCCAUGAUGGGAGCGUUGCUGGAGCCCCUUCUGCCCUCACAUGGAAGAGACUGCUGCGUUGGUUAAAGCAAACAGCGAUACAGUGCUCCUCUGCUGUUCCUGGGAACGUGGGACGCCUCCUGGAGCAGGAUGUGAUGGCCGGAGCAGUGCUGAGCCGUCCUGGGGUUUGCAGGGUUCUUAGAGCAGUGCUGCAAUGUCUCGGCUGCUUGCAUCAUCAUGAGUUAAAUCAGCAUGCAAAGCCAUUAAAGAAUUGGUUGAUUGAAACAGCACCGGCCAUGAGCUUCCCUGGAUUUUUAAGCUGAUGUUUAAAUAGAUCUAUGGAUCUUAACGUCUGCGUUUUGAACCUCAAUUUUGGUCUAUUUAACCCUGAAGCAAACUAGCUCUGCUUAACGCAGCCCAGGCUUCGAAACAAUUCAGCCGGUCCAUAAUACCGUGGGAGCUCAGACAGCUUUGUCUGCACUCGCACCUCUCUGCGCGUCUCUGCAGGACCGUGACUGCCGCUGUGCGCAAUCCAUCACUGCUUGGACGGUGCUGGAACCCCCGACUGCUCCCCAGCACGCACCAGGGCCCACACCGGCCAAACCCCAUGGGGUAAAGCAGAGCCAGCGCUCUGUGUGGGUCCUCAGCACUUCUGGAAAUGGCUGUUGUAAGUCUGAACUGAAAAUUUCUGUACGUUUGUAGGGUUUCUAAAUGACUGUAAUGUUCAGUGUUGUUGAAAAGCAGCCGAGGCGGUUGAGACUGGUUGCGCUCCCUGGAGUGGGUGGUUUAAUGGUUGAACCUCCUUUUUGAAAGGAGAAGCGUUCUGGUACAGUGUGCUUAAAGCCCACAGAGGUCAGAGCAGACUUCCAGCCCCGGGUUAGGCUGACCCUAGCUUGCUGCCUGAGCCUCUUCAGAGAAAGAAAGAGAUCUUUCAGGGGAAAGGAAACAAAGAUUUUUUCCUCCAAAUGGCCCGUGGUCACUCCACGCACAUUCUUAAAGCAGUGGCGUUUGUUCUUACCCGCAGUGUCCCUCCUCUGAAUUGUUGAGUCAAAAACUCCAAUGGUAAUUAUUUUAGUGCCUGUUAUCAAUAAGAAGUUGUUUAAUGUCUUUGGCAACGUGCUGUGACUAAAGCAAAUUCGAUUGAGAGGCAAAGUGAAAUAACAAAUAUGCAGCCGCUCUGCCAAACAAUGACUGGGACUGUUUACAACAUUUUGUUUCAGACUGGUUUGUACACAGAAUCCUUUCUGUUGAAAGUUUGCAUGUCACAAUCUGCUGCUUGUGCAAGCAGACUAGAUUAAUAGAUUAUAAAGGACAAAAGGGACCUAGGUUCAUCUGGUUUGACUUCCUGCAUGAUGCAGGUGAUAAGAUAUUUGAGAAUGCGUUGUUUUUUUCUCAUUUGAGAGAAUUUAACAAUAGCAUACCUGUAUCUUAGAAAAAAGAUUGUGGUUGUAAUUUUAAAAAUGGCCUCUGAGAGUAAAGUAAGGAUUGGCAAACUGUUUCCAUCGAAAUCUACCUGGUAGAUGAAAUUAAGAUACCUUUUAAACUGAGCCUUGUCUGGCUUCUGCUUUCAGUUACUGGAUGCUGCUGUACCUUGGUCUGCUCGAGCGAAUGCUCCUUUUCCAGAUCCUUGCCCUACAGAGCUGUGCACAGGCUGAUAACCGUGGAUUUAACGCUCCUGUUGCAGAUUUGCUGAGCUCUCCCUCGGGUCCAGGAUUACCAGCCCUACAAGCAUUGCUUCUCUGUGCACUCUCCAGUUUUUCACCAUUUGGAUCUGGGCAUCCAGAGCAGGGCGGAGCGUUCAGCAGUGAUCCCACCCAUGCCAGCAGUGUGCUGAGGUUUCUGUUACGCACCCAGGGAUUACUCCUGGUGCUCAGCUGGUUUUCCUGCUCUGCUCCUAAAAUGCCAUCCAACUUGCUCCUCCCGUGGGACUGCAUCUGUCUGUGAACAGCCUGACACUCAGCUCUUAAGGGCAGUCCUUAGGCAGCAUCACUGCUUGCAUUGGCCUUUAUUUACACGUCCUGGUGUUGCUCUUCUGUGUCACCCACAGACGUGACUGGUAAAUAUUUUACGUUUUCUUCCAGCUCACUGACAAACACCAUUUCUGUUUCUGCUGUAGGAGUGUCCUGGUUCCAGGUGUGUGCGUGCCUCAGUUUUGUCAACAGUGAGUCAGGAGAUCUGAUCUACGCCAUCUCCCACCACACCCAUCCAUGGAAAGAAAGCCCAGUGCAGGAGCUGGCAGGGAGCCAUGGGGCACACUGCAGCAUGUGCCUGCUCUGUAUCAAACAGAGCCAUUACAUAGUGUGGGGCCCAAAUCAGAUAGUUACAGCACCAUAAAAGAAAGAUAACAGCUCUAAGAUGCAGCAAUUACAACUGCACUUUGAGAUAUUCCUAUUGGAUGGAUUUUAUUCCAUGUGAUUAUGUCAUCUUGAUUUUAUGUUCUCAUAAUCACGUAAAUGCUUCACAAGGGUUGAAGUACAGCUCUCCUAGAGAUUUGCUACCAGUGAUACUUCCGUUUAUCACCUAACUUCAGUUUCUCUCUCAGCAGCUGAACUCACAAAGCUGCUUCUCCUGUGGAUUUGCAGACAAAUCCCCGCAGACUCCCUCCAGUUCCUUCCCUGUUUUCUGAGCAAGGGGUAGCAGCACUGCCCCCUGGGGGGGCUGACACUACCUGCCUUUCCCCCAGGGCACGGUGCUGCCUCUGCUGCAUACUCUGCUCAGCUGUUCCUUCCAGACCUAAACAUGUUUGGGAUUUCUUCCCCACUGUCAAAUUUGACUGAGGUUGGAGGAGGGAGGGGAAAAAUGACAGAGAACUUUUAUUUUUAGGAAACCAGGCUAAAAAUAUCAAAGGAGUAUUGAACUAGAAUACACAUUGGGUAUUUGCCUGUUCAGGGUUUUUUUUGUUUUUUUUUGGUGAUUUCCCCCCCCCCCCCUAUUUUUAACCUUUUCCUAAGUAUGGCACGUCAUACAGGUAAGGAAUUUCUCAGCCAAAAUAUGUACCCUCCUGACAGAUUUUACCUAUAUUCCAGCGUGCUCUGCGGAUGCACGGGCUCUGUGCACAUGGGCUGUGUGCACUGCAUAAUGAUGGGGAACCCCUGGUCUGCUGGGUUGUUGUGCCUGAGUACAAAGAGAGAUACCUUCACACACAGCAGGAGAACAAACAUUUCUUUUGUUUAAGAUCCAUACAAGUUUUGAUGGACACAUUGGGCAUUUGCCAGGGCUGGCUUUUUUCUUUUCCUUUUAAACUACAUCUGUUCAUUUUAUUUCUGGUAGUAUUAUGACAAAGCCACCUCUGUAAGAUAGGUAGGGAGUGCUUUCAGAGAUCUAAUCAUUCUUGAGCUUUUAAAGAAUAAAAAAAGCUGUUUCAACAUCUGAAUUGCAGAAUGUUUUGUGUUGCUGCUUGCCAUUGAAAUGGAGCUACUAUUGAAAUGCUGUGAUCCCAUCAGCAUGUACAACUCGUUAUUGUUUACAGUACUUUCAAGCUUAAAAAAUCAUUAAAUCAAGAAGGUUGGCAAUUCUAAUCAACAUUCUAAAGCUGUCAGAUUGCUGGACAUAUCUGAGAUUCACUGGGCUUGCAUCAAAAGGACAUGAAUAUAGAGAUAAGUAAUCUGAAAGGAUAUUUAUGCAUUAAAAUACUUAUGUGCCUGGACACCUAUCAUUAAACAGCCUCGAUGCGGCGGUAGCUGGAGACCCGUGAGCCUUUUGAACAAAUGCAACAUGCAGGGGGAACGUUCUCAUUACAAGUGAUGGAACAUAAAAUGUUUCAGCCACGAAAGUGAUGACAAAGAUCAAAUGGAGUGAGUUUAGCUUACAAAUUGGAGCAUUUUCCUCUAACUGGCACGAUGCAAACAACCUAUGGCACAGAAGAAAGACGGUUUUGCCCUUGACAUUGCUGCUGUUGCUGCCGUAUCUGCAGUCAAGGAUCCUCAUCUUGAUUUAUUUUUGUCAGGACAGCUGGGAGUGCCCCAGCUGCUCCACUAAGCCGCAGUUUUCAGCCGAGUGGGCCAGAACGUGCAGAAUUAGCGAAUGCUGCCUUGUCCCUUGCCUUUCUGCGGGUCUGCACAGCAGCAGCUCCCAGUUGCUAAGCAGCUGUAGAGCCGUCCUUGCCUUUGCUACCAAUCAGCUGUGCAAGGGGAGCAGCACAGGUUCCCCUUGAUCGGCAGAGAGGAGCUGGCAGUGUGAAAGCACGAGCAGCGGCCAUAGCAGAAUUGUUUCUUUGCUGGCUGGCUGCUGACCCCCUGGCAGAAAUGCCGGCGUGAAGCAAAGGGACACUCGACGGACCGGGAGCAAGGGAAGGAGGGAGAGCCAGCAUAUGUGCACAGCAGAGGUUACAAAGGCAGCAGAUCAUAGCGGAGCAGGGGGCACAUGCUGAGGAGAAAGGAAUGGGAGAGAGGCCAAAGGCACAGCUCAGAAUAAAAAACCCCAGGAGGAGAGUGCAGCAUAUGGAGGGGAGAAAUAAAGCAGAACUGGCACAGCCUGUGAAUAAUUGAAUAGAAAACACAGGAGGAGAGGAAAGGAGCUUGAUUCAUUACUGCCCUUCACUGUGUGGAGACGGCUACACCCAGGAAAAGGAGGUGCGGAACACAACAGCAUCUUUCAUGUUUCUCAGUGGACUGUAGGUUUUACAUUUCGACCCCUGCCAUUUGUGGCUUUCUCACUGGACGGCCCAGCCCCUGCCUUUUGUUUAGAUUUGAUUCCUGCAGGCUCUGCUCUUAUCUGCCCCUAGUUUCUAAUUUAUUUUCAUACUUACGUUAGCUUUUCUGUGUGUUUUUUUUCCAAGGCAAGUCUUAACUCCAAAUACCUUUUCCAUACACUUAUUCUAACCUUCAGGAAAGCAGGCCAUUGCAAAUCCCCAGCUGAAGUUGGUUUCCACACCAUCCACAGUACCACUGCUGCUGUUUUCCCCCUCUCCUCCAGGAGCGGCUGAUGCAGAGCAGUGCUCGUUCCAUCCCUGCCACAUGGGCUUGCCUUUUCCCCGCAGGCCAGCCAGCCAUUUGGGAAGAUGCUGCUCUCAGCAUGUAAUGAGCAGUUCCUGUGGCAUGAAAUCAUCACAAACUCCUGGCAUGUUGCAUAAGAGGUGUAAAACUUGUCACAAACAUCUCUGGGGUUAUUGUGACCAAAAGAGAUUGCAGUCCCACCACUGUUCAGCUGCCCACAUGCAAAAAUACUUGAUGGUCUCAGCACCUAACACGCAAUUGGCUGCCAGGUGCCAGCAGAGCUGGGAAGGUGGAAAGGACUUCUGCGUUCUUCCUCUCUUUGGAUCCUCCAGGCAGAGUCCAGGGGCACAUUUCUAUGGGAGUGUAGGGGAGAGGAACCAAAGCCCGAGCAGCUGUUGCCUUCCCUGGCCAGGCCCAGCACGCCUGGAGGCCUGGGGCUGAGCGUGCUUUUCCUCAGGUCCAAAAUGAAGUCCAAAAACAGAUCCCCACACAGUCCUACUGCGGGAAGGAUUUGCUACAGGCCAUGUGAGUGCAUGUGUAUGACAAGCCAAUAAAAAACCUGACAGACACACCACCAGGUAUGUUUCAUACUUGGAAGAUUUCGUCUUAGAUGUCUGACUUGGAGUGAUGCUGUUUUUGCAUCCAUUUGUCUGGAGUCUUUGAACAGGCACAGCCUACACUACUGAUAGACUUAAGAUCACUAAAGGUCUGGGGGCACUGACACUUUCCAAGUAGCUUCAGCUGCAUGUCAUGUAAGGGCAUUCUGAGCAUGACGAGAGCCCUAAGUUUAAUUAGAAUGGUUUCAACCUGCCUUAAGAAACUAGAUCUGCUGUGUUAAUCCCAGUAAGCAACUGGAGCUUCACAGUGUGCCUGCUGUGACAAUACAAAACAGGAAGGAUAAAGCGUGUGUAGGAAGAGAGAAAUGCACAGGAAAUGCUAUCAGGGGCAGUGGGAUGACAUAAUUAGAACUGAGUUCAUUUCUCAGCCCCCCGAGUUACUCACUAGCCUGCUCUGAGCCUCGCUAGUUCUUUGUGAGGCCUGCUCUCAGCUUGGCUCAGGCUGAUCUGUACUUUGCCCAGGGAUGCUGACAUGUGCCACAAACCUCCCUGUUUCUCCACUCAUGAGCUUCCAUCCAGACACCAGCAAAGCUGCUCAGCUCUCCGUGUGCAUGUAGCACUCAGCAAAAAGCGGGCAGAAGUUAUGGUGUCUCCCAUCGGAAGAUGAGCAGAGGAUUCCAUCUUCUCUUCAGUCUGUGGUUACUGGCCUCCCUAGGAAGUUUGUACCAGCAUCAUAGCGGAGAAUGCACACUUAGCACAUGGAUGUUGGUGCCAUACACUACUCAGCAAACACCUGCCUGUAUUUCAUACACAGCCCUUUCUCUCACAGCUCACAGGCUAUCCCUGUUUCCCCCCCACACACACAUUUACUCCGUUUCCUCACGUUUCUGUCCAAAAGAUCUGAGAGCUUCCUGCCAGGGCCAGGUGCCUGGGAGAGUGAUGGUUAAUGGAUCGCAAAGGAAGUGUUGAUUAGCAGCUCUGAAAACUUGCAUUGUACAGGUUGCAUCCUACUUCACACAGUGGGAGGCAUGUUUAGCAAACCAAACCCAGCAUCAUUUAAACAUGUAGCUCUCAAAAUCCUCUCAAAAAAGCACAACUGAUCCUAUUUCAGGUUUGAUGGAAUCUACCAACCGCCUUUUGGGGAGCAUAACCCAGCAAGGAAAGCCACUUGCAGCCCCUUUCCCUCCUGAUGGACUACUCUCUGCUGCAGACUUGGAUACAGAAAAGCAUCUGAAGUGGAUUACUUUCAUGCAGUUCUGUAGCAGAGCCCUCAGCACUCACAUGGCCACAAGCAAGCCUGCACAUCACUCCUGAACUCACUUCUUCUGAUGGUUCCCAUGGUGAAACCAACCACACACAACCACAGGUCUUGCCUAAGACAAAGCGUGUUGGAUCCUUCCAGAUUCAUUUCCCAGCACAGAGGUAGAGGAUGAGAUACAGCAUCAUCUAGCUCUGCCAGCAAGUGUUGACAAAUUCCUCACUGUCCCUCCAUGAAGCCAUGCAGCACAUCUGGGAGACAGAUCUGCAGGGCCAGAGAGAAUUUGGCUUGAGAAUUCACACUUUCAGUGUAGUCCAGAAGACUUGAAUCUGCUCCUAAGCACCUCCUGUGUCAGGCUGAGACAUUGCUAUGUUGAUUUAUAUACUUUUCAAAUUCUUAGAUGUUUUUUUUCCACUGCUGCAAAGCCAGGAACUCAAGUUUUAAUGAAAGGUAAGAUUCAAAAUACAGCACAUUGGCCAUGCAUGUAUCAGGUAAGCCAAACUUGGCCCGCAUAGCUGGCAUCCCUGAUUUAAAGCAUACCAGAGAAAAUAACCCACGAAACAGUAUGCACUCCCUAUAAAUAGCUGCUCUCUAGGUAGCAGUCAAGCUGUGGUUUAUGGACAAAAAUCAGUCCAAACUGUAUCACAGUACCUGAACAUUCUCUGCCUGGUUCUGCUGAGUUGUGUGUCUAACUUGGCCCACACCUCCCGCUGCAGACAGUUGUCCUGUUUUCUUUCAUAGCCCUCUGAACUCCCUGGUAGCAUUUGGACAGGUUUUAUGUAGAGUUUAUUGAAAGAUUUUUGCAGUGAUUUAGUGCAUGGGCUACUUGAGCCAAGUGAAACAGGAAUUCUAGUCCUCAGGCAUGAAAAGGCAGAAAGGAAAUUUUCUUAUUGAAAUAUAAUUUUUCCACAUUACUUAACAGUCUAGAAAGUUAAUACGAUUUUACUGGAAAAAAAAAUAUACAGUUACCACUGAGCCAAACAAGAAUAUAAUAAUGUUUUAGGUUGGGUUAAACUCCUUAGAAAUUGGCAGGCAUCACAGCCACUUUGCCUUCUGUGAAAAAGGCAAUUGAGAUCCCUCCCGAAACAAGGGAUUUGCAUCAGUAGCGUCUACUACACAAAACCAGGCACAUGGCAAGGUCUGAAUAGAUGGUGAAUCAUGUGGCCCAAGGGAUUUUUCUGGAUUUUGGGGGCGGGAGUGUGUGUGUGUAAAAUACCAGGCCACGAGGACCAGAUGGUAGAGCUCUGCAUGUGCAUGGGAAACAGCAAGAAGCACUACAGAAAUGGAUACUGAGAAGCAGCUGAAAGUCCAGGAGGCUGGGAGCUUCGAUUUGGAAAGAGAUUUCCUCUGUAGAGUGAGGGCCGAAAGACGCCCGGGACUGGGAGCAAAACCACAACUGAAAAAAACGAUUUCGUACAGCUUUUCUGUAAAUAAAUGGAAUUGCCUUGAGUAUGGACUUUGCUUUGUCAUAGCAUUUUCCUCUUACACUGAUAGUCACCAAUUACUUCUUGGUGUGGGCAGGGCACACAGUUCACCUCUCCUACAUUAUAGUUCACACUUCCCUUUCUGCCCUGUCAGGUCACACAGUAAAUUCUUUGGGACUGAGAUUAUUCUUUACAUGUUGUGAUUACAAACAAUUGUGGUACUCAUAUAACAUUGGAAAUUUAUUGGAAAUGCACUCUACUUGCAUGUUAAGUCCCAUUCUUUAGGGUCUGUCUUUCCUAUUGAGACUGUAAACACUUCAGGGCUUUGUCUUGCUCUAUAUGUACUGGCAUAGCUCAGUGGGAAUUAUCAAUGAAAACACAAAGUACUAUCACUGUUAAUCUUUGAAGACGAGCAUUUAAGGUUUUUCCUCAUUAUGCACAUUCUUAAUUAAGUUUAUGAGUAUUUCUUUGACAUAAAUUGAGCUACUUCUUAUUGUAAAUUUUAAGUCUCUGUAAAGCUGGGGUCUGUAUAAUCAAGAAGAAAAUUCUUAAGUGUAUUUCAAAAAUUUAAUUUUUAAGACACUCUAGAAAAAGUAGGUACCCAUUCUUGCCUCAUUUAUAGUUCCAUAUAAGCUCAUAGCAUGAAUAUACAGCAGAUGGCGUUUGCUGCUGCCGCUCUCUGCAGUUGUGGCUACAAGGAAGUACCAUCAGUCUGACACUUUACUGGCUAGCUAAAAUAGUUAUAUUUUCCAUUAAAAGUAUUACUGCCAGACAUACAUAUCAGCCUAAGGGCAUACACUGCAACACAGCUUAAGUGACUGGAAACUCAGAACUUCAACAACAUUAAGAGUUCCUCCAAACAAAAAGAAUGUAAUUAUCCCAAAUAUUUUGUCAAACUUGUUAACAUAUUUACUAUUUAUAGCAGGUUUUUUUUUUACCAUUUUGCAGAAUUUUCCAUUAUGCUUCUCUUCCCCUACUUGAUUCUCUGUAGUCACAAAACUCGUGGGCCUUUUCUAUUAUUAUAUCUGUUAUCUUUUUCAAGCACAUUAUAAGGACAGAGAGACAUAGCAUGAGUGCGUUGGUAUUGCUUCCUUAGGAGGUCAGGCUAAUGGCACACCUGAUGUUCCUACAAGAAAAGAGCCAAACUGUCCAGUAGGUUGGAACACCUUGGGUGUUGGGUUGGGUGGUAUUUUGAGAAAUUUCAUCAUACUGUAUCUAAAUGGUUAUAGCUUCAAUAUUAAAACAAACUGAGAGUCUUUUUUCCUGAAAACUAACCCAAAUCACCCAUAAAUACCAUCUAAACUGUUAAAGCAUCUUUCAAAAACCAUAUGCUUCCAGCAGUUUUCCUAGGCAACGUGCUCACCUUUCUCUCCUUCCUAUUAUUUUUCUUAGCAACUGUGAAGUAACAAAUUAGUAACAAUAAUGGAACACAGAUAUUUACUUUUUACCCAGAUUUUACCCCACUUCAUCUUUGAUUUUGGUGCGCUCACUGUACACAUACUCUUAAGACUGCAGAUGUGUAAGCUUUUGAUGACAGAACUUGUGCCAAAAAUGAUGUAUAUGCCAAAACAGGAGAAGCAAUUAAUAGUGAUUAGAUUUGAAUUUCACUAAUAGAGGGUU
Molecule: long non-coding RNA, 10954 nt
Organism: Numida meleagris (helmeted guineafowl)
Lineage: Eukaryota; Metazoa; Chordata; Aves; Galliformes; Numididae
Exons: 3
Source: RefSeq, a predicted model, not a curated record